GUGCUUGAUUCAGCAGCACACAUACAAAAAUUGGAACAAUACAGAGAAGAUUAGCAUGGUCCCUGCUCAAGAAUUACUUGCAAAUUUGUGAAGUGUGCCAUAAUUUU
This 107-nucleotide small nuclear RNA is filed under the name Catagonus wagneri (Chacoan peccary). Lineage: Eukaryota; Metazoa; Chordata; Mammalia; Artiodactyla; Tayassuidae. The record is from RNAcentral.